This 497-nucleotide ribosomal RNA is filed under the name uncultured bacterium. RNAcentral describes it as "partial 16S ribosomal RNA". It matches the Rfam family "Bacterial small subunit ribosomal RNA", at positions 28 to 507 of the family's 1533-position model. The record is from RNAcentral.
GAUGAACGCUGGCGGCGUGCCUAAUACAUGCAAGUCGAGCGAACCGACGAGGAGCUUGCUCCUCUGACGUUAGCGGCGGACGGGUGAGUAACACGUGGAUAACCUACCUAUAAGACUGGGAUAACUUCGGGAAACCGGAGCUAAUACCGGAUAAUAUAUUGAACCGCAUGGUUCAAUAGUGAAAUACGGUUUUGCUGUCACUUAUAGAUGGAUCCGCGCCGCAUUAGCUAGUUGGUAAGGUAACGGCUUACCAAGGCGACGAUGCGUAGCCGACCUGAGAGGGUGAUCGGCCACACUGGAACUGAGACACGGUCCAGACUCCUACGGGAGGCAGCAGUAGGGAAUCUUCCGCAAUGGGCGAAAGCCUGACGGAGCAACGCCGCGUGAGUGAUGAAGGUCUUCGGAUCGUAAAACUCUGUUAUUAGGGAAGAACAAAUGUGUAAGUAACUAUGCACGUCUUGACGGUACCUAAUCAGAAAGCCACGGCUAACUACGUG